GUCAAAGGCUUGCGUUCAGGCUUCCGGUACGGCAGUAGGAUCCCUGGCGUCAGACAUAUCCGGGAAGGGGUAUGGAAUCGGAACGGAUGCGUAAAGAAAGCGCUCCACAAUAACGCAAGCC
This 121-nucleotide non-coding RNA is filed under the name unclassified sequences. The record is from Rfam.